GUCGAUAGUGUAGUGGUUAGCACGGUCCCUGGUAUAGACAGAACGCGUGUUCAAUUCCCGCUCGGAUUUUGCA
This is a non-coding RNA of Parelaphostrongylus tenuis, 73 nucleotides long. Lineage: Eukaryota; Metazoa; Nematoda; Chromadorea; Rhabditida; Metastrongylidae. The record is from the annotation of a GenBank genome assembly.